AUGGAGGCCCAGGAAGGCGACUUGUCAAACCUUGAUUCUGCAGAUGCUCUCUUGGAGAAUGUGCUGGUUUCUUCCCCUGUCCUGAGUCUGCCACCUGGUGUCCAGUGUGAGGUGCAGCUGGUGGAGUCUGGGGGAGGCCUGGUCCAGCCUGGGGGGUCCCUGAGACUCUCCUGUGCAGUGUCUGGAUUCACUGUGAGCAACUACUACAUGAGCUGGGUCCGACAGGCUCCAGGGAAGGGGCUGGAGUGGGUCUCGUACAUUUAUAGUGAUGAUGGUGACACAAACUACGCAGACGCCGUGAAGGGCCGGUUCACCACCUCCACAGACAACGGGAAGAACAUGCUGUAUCUGCAAAUGAAUAGUCUGAGAACUGAGGACACGGCCGUGUACUACUGUGCGAGAGACACAGUGAGGGGACAUCAGUGUGAGCCCAGACACAAACCUCCUACGGGGGCACGUGGGGCCACCAGGGGGCAGACAGGACACAAGAAGCAGAGCCAGCCCAGGGCAGGAGCAGGUGGAGGUUAA
Propithecus coquereli (Coquerel's sifaka) is the source of this 528-nucleotide non-coding RNA. The record is from the annotation of a RefSeq genome assembly. NCBI's taxonomy places the organism in Eukaryota, Metazoa, Chordata, Mammalia, Primates, Indriidae.